UCCCAUUCGGUGAUCAGGAGUGAACACAGACCACUCACCAUGGAGUAUUGGCUGAGCUGGGUUUUCCUUGUUGCUAUUUUAAGAGGUGUCCAGUGUGAGGUGCAGCUGGUGGAGUCUGGGGGAGGCUUGGUGCAGCCUGGGGGGUCUCUGAGACUCCCCUGUGCAGCCUCUGGAUUCACCUUCAGCAGCUAUAGCAUUGACUGGGUCCGCCAGGCUCCAGGGAAGGGGCUUGAGUGGGUCUCAUACAUUAAUAAAGAUGGUAGUAGCACAUACUACGCUGACUCCGUGAAGGGCCGAUUCACCAUCUCCAGAGACAACUCCAAGAACACGCUGUAUCUGCAAACUAACAGCCUGAGACCCGAGGACACGGCCGUGUAUUACUGUGCAGUAUACACAGUGAGGGGAAAUUAA
Non-coding RNA from Diceros bicornis minor, 411 nucleotides. Lineage: Eukaryota; Metazoa; Chordata; Mammalia; Perissodactyla; Rhinocerotidae. The record is from the annotation of a RefSeq genome assembly.